CCUCGAUAUUGCAUUUGAUCAGGGUCAUCCAGAUCAACGCCAUUCGGAACAUUGGUGGGAUAGAGAAGAUUGGCCACUCGAUGGACGUCAAUGGUCCUACAACGG
RNAcentral lists this non-coding RNA (105 nucleotides) under Fragilariopsis kerguelensis. The record is from RNAcentral. Lineage: Eukaryota; Bacillariophyta; Bacillariophyceae; Bacillariales; Bacillariaceae.